CCCAGUAACGGCGAGUGAAGCGGCAACAGCUCAAAUUUGAAAUCUGGCCCCCCGGCCCGAGUUGUAAUUUGCAGAGGAUGCUUUUGGUGAGGCACCUACCGAGUCCCCUGGAAUGGGGCGCCAUAGAGGGUGAGAGCCCCGUAUGGUAGGACGCCGAACCUCUGUAAAGCUCCUUCGACGAGUCGAGUAGUUUGGGAAUGCUGCUCUAAAUGGGAGGUAAAUUUCUUCUAAAGCUAAAUACCGGCCAGAGACCGAUAGCGCACAAGUAGAGUGAUCGAAAGAUGAAAAGCACUUUGAAAAGAGGGUUAAAAAGUACGUGAAAUUGUUGAAAGGGAAGCGCUUGUGACCAGACUUGCGCCGGGCGGAUCAUCCAGCGUUCUCGCUGGUGCACUCCGCCCGGUUCAGGCCAGCAUCGGUUUUCGCCGGGGGACAAAGGCUUCGGGAACGUGGCUCCUUUCGGGGAGUGUUAUAGCCCGUUGCGUAAUACCCCGGCGGGGACCGACGACCGCGCUUCGGCAAGGAUGCUGGCGUAAUGGUCAUCAGCGACCCGUCUUGAAACACGGACCGAGGAGUCAAGCAUUAGUGCGAGUGUUUGGGUGUAAAACCCGCACGCGUAAUGAAAGUGAACGUAGGUGAGAGCUUCGGCGCAUCAUCGACCGAUCCUGAUGUUUUCGGAAGGAUUUGAGUAGGAGCAUUAACGCUUGGACCCGAAAGAUGGUGAACUAUACUUGAAUAGGGUGAAGCCAGAGGAAACUCUGGUGGAGGCUCGCAGCGGUUCUGACGUGCAAAUCGAUCGUCAAAUUUGAGUAUAGGGGCGAAAGACUAAUCGA
This 830-nucleotide ribosomal RNA is filed under the name Pyricularia oryzae. RNAcentral's name for it is "LSU rRNA". It matches the Rfam family "Eukaryotic large subunit ribosomal RNA", at positions 79 to 938 of the family's 3401-position model. The record is from RNAcentral. Lineage: Eukaryota; Fungi; Ascomycota; Sordariomycetes; Magnaporthales; Pyriculariaceae.